RNAcentral lists this long non-coding RNA (877 nucleotides) under Triticum aestivum (bread wheat). RNAcentral's name for it is "long non-coding RNA (TAES_LNC021649)". Lineage: Eukaryota; Viridiplantae; Streptophyta; Magnoliopsida; Poales; Poaceae. The record is from RNAcentral.
GUCAGACCCCUCCGCCGAUGCCAGUCAUUGCUCCGGCGGACACGGUGAGUUUCAUUUGAAUGGACAUUACUUAUUAGUCUUCACAUUUGAGUUGCAUCAUGCUAACAAGACAUUGCAAAUGAUCUUUAAUUUGGUAUAGCAUAACUCCCGACAAGCAUCGAUGUCUGCCAUUGGCGCGAGCAAGAACCCCAAUCCUCCUCCGUCUGCCACUACUGCGAGCAAGAACCCCGAUCCUUCACCUACAGGUUGACGGUAAGUUUUGCCUAGUGCUUUGCUUAAUUAGCUCUAAAUUGACCUAUUUAACCUAGGAUAGCUCGAAAAUGACCUAUACUUAGCAUUUUUUCCUCCAAAAUGACUUAAUAUGCUUAGCUAGCUCAAAAUUGACCUAUUUAACCUAGGAUAGCUCUAAAAUAACCUAUACUUAGCAUUUUUUCCUCCAAAUGACUUAAUAUGCUAAGCUAGCUCUAGAAUGACAUAAUAUAUAUGCUUAGUUCCAAAAUGACCUUGCUUAGCAUUUUUUACACCAAAAUGACUUAGUAUGCUUAGCUAGCUCAAAAAUGACAUAAUAACCAUACUUAGCUCCAAAAUGACCUAUUUUACAGAUAUAAGUUGCAUCAUAAUAAUCUUCUUAUUCUAGUCUUCUUCUUCUAACUUUCUUCUUUCCCAUUUUGUAGAUUUGCUUCAGAUCACGGAAGCAUGGGUUGAUGGAGUGCUUGUCUUUAGUUUUUGUUUUGACUUUGUGAAACUCGCUACCAAUGAUGAAACUGUGUAAUAUUGAUGAAACUAUGUAUAUGUAUGGAUGAAACUUGCUACUAUUGGUAACAUGUGUUGGAUAUAUUUGCGUUCAUGACUAUUGGUAAUAUGUGUUGAAUAUGCU